UUCACUUAGGACCCACUGUGAAGCUCCCUGCAGUGCUGUCCCUUCGAAGUGAGGACCCAGCUACCCAGGUGCCCAGUCUACACCUGGACACCACGUGGUGAUGACAUCACUUCCUUGUUAAAGCUUGGUGAUUCAUUUCCAUUCCAUGAUCAGUUACUAAUAUAUGCUCUAUGUGAUCUUGCAGGAUUUGUGACCUUGUUAGGAAUAGGAUCCUAACAAGCUCUGCCUGGUUAGAUAUAAAUGUAUUAUCAGAUGUGUUUCAGAUGUCACAUCCUACAGAGGUUUCUUUCUUGAUUCACAGUGGGACACAAUCUCUCCUCACAUGUGCAACUCCCUACAUUUCAACUAUACCCUUUACUGUCUGCCCUCUGUGGAAGUUUUGUAAAUUCAUUUUUUUCUUUUAAGGUUUUAGAAAUUUGAGAGCAAAGCACAUGCUUUUUAAAUAUCUGUAUCCCUGGUGAAGUGUCUGGCCUGCAUGUGACAUGUCCUCAGUGAAAACCUGUGUUGAAUUUAGGUAAGGCUUGGAGGUCCCCCCCCCACCUUGUAUUCUCUGUCUUCUUGACACCCAUGUUGUAAUUGAGACAUUUGAUGCUCAACUAGUUAAAAGUCUUGCUUGGCCAAGAGACUUCAUGCUUUCCUAGUUUUACAGUGCUUUCUCUGAGCUUCUGAGAAGAAACACCUUACCCACUCCGUUAUUCAAUUAUAUGGAACUGUGAGAAUAAAACUUUUGUUCCAAGUGCUCUUAAUUAAAAGAUCAGGGAAGGAUGAAGGUCUUUCUUACAUAUUCAGCAGAUUCAUUACAUUGGAGUUUGGUAGAAAUGUAGACUCUAUGGCCUGGGUCUCAGACUUACUGAAUUAUAAUUUUUGUUUUAACAAAAUCAUCAGAAAGAGUCACAGAUGCAUUUUCAGGUUGAGAGGCACCUCAUGGUGGUGAUACCUGAAAUAUGGCCCAAGUGCAUCACUGAGGAGGGGAUCAAAAAUGGAGUCAAAGUGCUGCUCUUGAGGAC
RNAcentral lists this long non-coding RNA (1007 nucleotides) under Marmota monax (woodchuck). The record is from RNAcentral. Lineage: Eukaryota; Metazoa; Chordata; Mammalia; Rodentia; Sciuridae.